Cyprinus carpio (common carp) is the source of this 1289-nucleotide long non-coding RNA. Lineage: Eukaryota; Metazoa; Chordata; Actinopteri; Cypriniformes; Cyprinidae. The record is from Ensembl.
AGCAGACCCAUGGUGUUACAUUCUGUGGCCAUACUGUCCUUUAUAAAUUUCUUUGAUCCUGCUCCCAUUCCAGGCAGAGCUUCAGCCUGACCUGAUGCUUUCGAUGAUGCACCUGUGGGCCUCAUUAACUUCCACAAGCAGUGAUAUGGAAAAAAUUUCAUUACUGUGUUCUUGUGUUAUUGUUGUCACACUAGCUAGUUUUAACCAUAAAACACAUCUUUUUACUACUUUUAGAUGUUUUGUGUUUGGAGUGAGAAAAUAAUGACUGUUUCAUCUGUCAGUCAGGCGGAAAUUGUUGCCGUCUCUAUUGUCCUGCUGGUAUUUAAUCUCAGGCCUAAAAUAAGGCAGCUUGUUCUAUAAGGACUGGAUAUAGGCUGGCAGUAUACUAGAAAGACUGGGUUGAUACCCUAGGGAUAGACGGUUCUGAACACCAGAGCAACUCCUACUGUGUGUUUCUUGCACCUUGGAAGCUUACCUUUGUUCUGCCUGUUCCAAAGAAUCUCCUUGACCCAAGGUGACAAAAGCAGCACUUCUGUUAUAAGAGGUGUUCAUGAAAAAGUGGUGUUGGUAGGUAAUUAUGCCUGAUGUGUCCACAUCUUGACUGUCCUAUCAUGAACCUUGAUUACAGUAAAUUGAGUGGGUCCUCUGUCACUUGUUGUUAUUAUAAAGAUUGGUCUCACAGAAACUGGACUGUUGCUUAGUCACCAUGCCUUUCAUAUACAGAAAGCGGGAGAAUUAGGUCAGUUUGUUCUUCCUCCUUUGGCAGUGUGUAUUUAGCAGGCUGAUAUUAUUCCUUCCCCCUUCAAGUCCAAGUCUAUAAUUGGAGGAAUGUUCUAGUUUUCUGUGCUGAACAUUUAAUCAAUUCACACACAAAUUUGGCCAGAUAUUUGCUGAAAUGUUAUUUCUCUCUCUUGUAGAUGGAUGAAGAGGAGCAGCCACAGAUUUCAGUGCAAGAUUUCAGAUCUUUUUCUACCUCUGAGGAACUGCACAGUGAGACAGUGUCACAUACACACAGUGAGACUGCAUCCUCUGGAUAUGCAUCCAUGCAUGGAAAUGAGCACCUCGGCCCUGCUGAAGGCUCACAAAAUGGUGUGCAAGAGGAGCAGUUGGAUGUGUCGCCCCACUAUGAUAAUCUUGCCUUCGAGAGUGACGUUCACAGCCAGAGUGAAGUCAGGACCUGAGCAGCACAAGCAAACACUGAUACAAUGCACUCAUACAGAUGAAUGAAGGGUUUUUGAUUUGAGGACUUUAACAAAGAACCACUGAGCCCUUUACUGAUUAGUUUCUGA